AGGGCUAUAGCUCAGUUGGUAGAGCACCUCGUUUACACCGAGAAAGUCUACGGUUCGAAUCCGUAUAGCCCUA
This 73-nucleotide transfer RNA is filed under the name Myriophyllum sibiricum. RNAcentral's name for it is "tRNA-Val". It matches the Rfam family "tRNA". Rfam says of the family: Transfer RNA (tRNA) molecules are approximately 80 nucleotides in length. Their secondary structure includes four short double-helical elements and three loops (D, anti-codon, and T loops). Lineage: Eukaryota; Viridiplantae; Streptophyta; Magnoliopsida; Saxifragales; Haloragaceae. RNAcentral also lists the same sequence under 4 other names. The record is from RNAcentral.